This 71-nucleotide transfer RNA is filed under the name Lemniscomys striatus (typical striped grass mouse). RNAcentral describes it as "tRNA-Gln". It matches the Rfam family "tRNA". From Rfam's summary of the family: Transfer RNA (tRNA) molecules are approximately 80 nucleotides in length. Lineage: Eukaryota; Metazoa; Chordata; Mammalia; Rodentia; Muridae. The record is from RNAcentral.
UAGGAUUAGGUGUACUGGUAGCACGGAGAAUUUUGAAUUCUUAGGAGUAGGUUCAAUUCCUAUGGUCCUAG